UAUUAGUUKUAUUUUUUAACCGUUUAUYGACUGUGUUACUCCAGUCCUGUAGGAGGCGGUAGAGCACACUAGUUGCCCACUGCUUCCCAGGCUGCCAGAGGAAGAAAAAAAAUGUCUAAGAACCAUUUUUGAGGCUCUUAUUUGUUUUUCUAAAGCAUCACAAACAAACAUGCAACAAUUACAACUUUUAAAGAGCAUGUGGAUGAAUUUUUGACUCGCUUAACCAACCGAGUUUUUAUGCCUACUGACCCAGACUCAGACCGUUUGGAGGCUCAAGAACCCUUUGCAGCGUGCUCGGCAGGGAGUCAGAAGGAAGAACACAUCAGCCAAGGAGCCAGGCAUUUGAACGGCUGUAAGAAGUAACUCGGGUGUUAGCUUUCCCCGACGCCCC
This is a non-coding RNA of Poecilia reticulata (guppy), 391 nucleotides long. The record is from RefSeq and is a predicted model, not a curated record. Lineage: Eukaryota; Metazoa; Chordata; Actinopteri; Cyprinodontiformes; Poeciliidae.